UGGACGUUCCAGCCUCGCUGCUGUAUGAUCAGAGGCUGUGAAGCUGCAGCUGUCAGGAUUAGUCCUCUGUGAGGACUCGCUGCCGGUGUGUGCAGUAGUAAAGUGCGUGCUUCGGUGCUCGCCUUUCAGGCACCAUCGGAGGUCUCAUCAGCAAAGCAAGAGUUGUGGAUUAUACUUUUUAACCUUCUAGAAACUCAGCUAACUCGUAUAUAUAGUUUUCAAGAAAUGAUCAAGAAAGCAUCAAUAUAUAGCCAUCCCUUAGUUCAUCGCUUAAUGGAUCUCAAAGCUCAAAAAGAGAACAGAGAAGCCGAUGAUGACAGGAAAGUGGUUGCAGAGAUCAUGCAGAGGUGUUUUGUUCCAGCUUUUGUAACAGCCAUCUCCUGGGAGGGAUUUCAUUUCGUUGGUCAUGAGAUUCGGAUUACUGAAGCCAUGGAUUGUUACGGUGCUAUUGUUUGGCCAUCGGCCCUUGUUCUAUGCUAUUUCCUGGAAACAAAUGUAAAGCAGUAUAACAUGGUUGACAAAAAUGUGAUUGAAAUUGGAGCUGGAACAGGGUUAGUCUCCAUCGUGGCGAGUUUACUUGGUGCGCACGUGACUGCCACAGAUUUACCUGAGUUACUUGGAAACCUGCAAUAUAAUAUUUCCCGAAACACCAAAAUGAAAUGUAAGCAUUUGCCUCAGGUUAAAGAGCUCUCCUGGGGUGUAGCUUUAGACAAGAACUUUCCCAAGGCUUCCAGCAACUUUGACUACAUCCUGGCGGCCGAUGUUGUCUAUGCUCAUCCAUUUCUGGAAGAACUCCUCAUUACCUUUGACCAUCUGUGCAAAGAAACCACCGUCAUCCUCUGGGUCAUGAAAUUCAGGAAAGGUCUUGAUGUGAGUCUAAUAAGCACUAAUAAUUAAGGGAUGUGUGUGGCAGUGCAUCCUCAUACGUGAAAUUGAUGAAGAGACUUUGCAGCUGAGGAUUAUCCUGGCUACACCAAGACUAACAAAGAAAUGAAGGAACAAAGCCCAUGAACCCAGGAGACGUGGAAGUUACUCAGACAUAAGGACAGAAACUCAGAACCUUUUCCAAAUAGAAACAGUCCAUCUGAGCGGUGGUAAACAAGAUGUUGAAGUCUGCAAAAUGGAAAACAAAUUAUGCAGAGGAAUUGUGUGCAAUGACUUAGAAAGAAAAAAAAAAAAAGGACACUUUUUAACCCACUCCUGCUUCUUUAAUUGUUUUGGCAUGUGAGAAUCAGAGAGUCACGCAGGUAAGCAAAUGUUAACUUUCCAGAAGCCUGCCACUUGGAGGCUCAGAUCCAUGUUUGGUGUAGCUUCAUGCUGCAGCCAAGCCGCAAUAGCACAAAGCAAGUACGUGUUGUUAUGUGUGAAAUGACUGAAGGUGGUUUUGAACUUUUCACUGAAGUGAGUGUCAUGGGUUAAAGACUUCCACCAAGACUGCAAUGAACCACCACAAAACCGUCUCUAGAAUUCAGCCUAUUGCUCCUAACUGAGGUUGGAUACCCCUAGAGGAUUACAAAGUGAUAUUUGACAGCAAAGACUUUUGCAGUAUCAUUUGUUUGGGUUAUUAAGAGUGAACAUAUAUAUUAUAAAUGCUUCCUUUUUUUUUUUAUUGCUUUCCCAUACUUUUAUCAGUUUGGAAGGAAAACUUCAGAAAAAUACUGUGAUAAGAGUCAGUAAAUUUUCUGCAGAGAGUUUAAUGGGAUAGUUAAAAUUUCUUAAAUAAAGCAUUGUCUCUCACCGCAGACAUGGCCGUUCUCCCAGUUAUGGAUGGAAGGAGACUGCUAAAAGCACUACAACCCUGCGAAUACCCAAAGCAGUACCGAAAAUCGCUGAUGCUGUCAUGUUUCACAGAUGCAGCCGCUGAGGCUGGUAGAGGAUAAAUAACAACCCCCGGGUCACACUGCACUGGUAGCAAGUGACAGAACCAUACUUAGAUUCCAGAUGCUGGAACUCUAAACCACUAUGUUACAUUUAUUCAACAGAUAUUUCCCGAGUUCCCAGUUAUUUCUUAGUCCGUAUAUGAUACUGCUCAUAUUGGUGGUUGAAUCGUACAAUAUCAGACAUAGCUCUGCUCUUAAGAUGCUUCUCCUAUUGUCAGGGGAGAUAAGACAUGUUUCCACAAAAACUCACCAAAAUAGAAGGCAGUAAACAAGAUGUGAAGACUUAAGAGGUAGGCAUUUUAAACAAGGUAGGCUCACGUUUUGGGCCCCAAUCACUUGUCUUUUGAAGCAUAAAACAUGAUAUUGAUAAAAGAAAUGUUCACAUAUUGAAGUAUGGGGAAGUCUUUCUGGCUUAUACAUGAGUUAACUUGAACUUUAUGCUAACUAAAACAGCCUGUUUGUGGCCUAUCAAACGCACAUUGUACAUCUGCUGGAAUUAUUAAAAGAAAGGGCGCAUUGACCAGAGGUAAAAAAAUGUCCACGUUAAAAAUGAAGAUCAAAUGCCUUCCUUCCUGGGAUGCCAAGGCCGGGACUCCUUCCAUGAUGACUCCCUUCCCUGGGGCCAAGGCCAUCCUGACUCACUGUGUAGGUGCUGAUCUCUUUUGCUGAAACCUUGAAGGAAUGUAUCUCUGACUUGUUUGGUGUUAUUUGUUCUGACAAGAUGUAAAACUGUGCUGAAACCGUGCUUCCCUGGAGCAGUUCCUCAGAGUUAUAUGAGAGGCUGGCUUCCAGGCUAUAGUCCUCAGCUUGGCUGAAAUAAAACUCCUGUCUGUCUAUUCCUAUUAUAGAUUGUUGACUGAUUAUUUUCGUCGACAGUAUCAUUCCACCAGGACAGGCAAACCUACUUGAGGAGAGAAGAUACAGCAUUUGUAUGAAUGUUGCAGCUCUGCUGCAUUUCUGAAGACCCUGAUGUGAUCAGGGAGGACUCCACAGAGGAGGUGAGACUCGAGUGGAACCUCCAAGGAUGACGAAACUUGGAUAUCUGGAGAGGCGAGGAGAAGGUGUCAGAGGCUACAGAAAUGGUUCACAUUAAGGUGUGGAGUCAAGUGUAUAUGAGGAGUGAUGGUAAAAUAUUGAAGAGGGUCGGCCUUAUUGGAGAAUAAGUUUUCUGGGGAAGGAAUGCCAGAUAAGACUAGAAACUUCUAAUGACCCACGGUGAGCACCUGGUAGGAAGAGGAAGCAGAAUGCAAGGGGAGGAGAAGAUGCACAAUUCCCCUCACAGAAUGGCCUGGGGUUGCUCUGUUUACAUAUUAGCCCUUUUGUCUAGAAUCUUUCCCCUGAAACUCUUAUUAUUAAGCAACAAAGCUAAAUGAAUACUGAAAUAAUUAUCUGAAAAAACAAGGGAUAAAGAUUGGGGAAUUAUUUCUAUAAACAGCAGGGUAUUUCCUGAGGCCAAAAAAUGUGAGUUAUUUCCUUUAUUAUUUCUAAUACUUUACUAAAUGCCUGCUAGUCCUUGGAGGGUCAAAAAUAAACUCUUAUCUUCAGUUAUUCUUCUUAUCUUUGAAACUUAUCCGAUAAGAGCAUUUUCAACUUUUGAGUUGUAAGAACAACAUCCUUAAUAAAAUUAUAUUGUACUUUCUUUGA
RNA transcript from Balaenoptera musculus (blue whale), 3524 nucleotides. It is a transcript of the gene named protein-lysine methyltransferase METTL21E, with no coding region annotated. NCBI's taxonomy places the organism in Eukaryota, Metazoa, Chordata, Mammalia, Artiodactyla, Balaenopteridae. The record is from RefSeq and is a predicted model, not a curated record. The transcript has 7 exons.